GAUGAACGCUGGCGGCGUGCCUAAUACAUGCAAGUCGAGCGAACGGACGAGAAGCUUGCUUCUCUGAUGUUAGCGGCGGACGGGUGAGUAACACGUGGAUAACCUACCUAUAAGACUGGGAUAACUUCGGGAAACCGGAGCUAAUACCGGAUGAUAUUUUGAACCGCAUGGUUCAAAAGUGAAAGACGGUCUUGCUGUCACUUAUAGAUGGAUCCGCGCUGCAUUAGCUAGUUGGUAAGGUAACGGCUUACCAAGGCAACGAUGCAUAGCCGACCUGAGAGGGGGAUCGGCCACACUGGAACUGAGACACGGUCCAGACUCCUACGGGAGGCAGCAGUAGGGAAUCUUCCGCAAUGGGCGAAAGCCUGACGGAGCAACGCCGCGUGAGUGAUGAAGGUCUGCGGAUCGUAAAACUCUGUUAUUAGGGAAGAACAUAUGUGUAAGUAACUGUGCACAUCUUGACGGUACCUAAACAGAAAGCCACGGCUAACUACGU
This 496-nucleotide ribosomal RNA is filed under the name uncultured bacterium. RNAcentral describes it as "partial 16S ribosomal RNA". It matches the Rfam family "Bacterial small subunit ribosomal RNA", at positions 28 to 506 of the family's 1533-position model. The record is from RNAcentral.